AGGGAAGUCAACACCCGCAGAGUGGGUCACGUGAUCUGGCUUUGUGCCUAGUGCCCUUGGGGCCCCAAGUCCCCUCAUCCUCACUUCUCUCUUCUGUAAUGCCCUGGUCUCUGCCAGCCUCCCAUGCUAGGUAUAGCUCUGGGAGGAGUGAGACCGCCUUGUCCUUGUUCCUGUGACAUGAGUGAGUAAAUGUCCUCUGAGAAACGCUAUCACCCAGCUUGUUUUCAUCUUUCAGUUUUUAUCUUCUGCUUCUUUCUCUUACCUCUGAGCCCUUCUCCCUAGAGGAGAUGAUCCCCCUGUCUGGGGACUGUAUCCAACAGAAAACUCUUCCUCAGAACUCAUCCAGACUAUUACCAUCAGAUCUGGGAAGGACAGUGAUAUUUGAAACGCAAAGCAGGUAAAAGAUGUUGCUAAGCCCUGUCUGCCCUAGAGCAUUGGUAAGCCUGGGACACCUCCGUUUUCCCUGAGCCCUGGGGUGGAGUGUGGGUCCUUACUUCAAAUGCCUACGUGUCUGUGGAAUGAAUAACAUUCAUCCCCUUGGCCUGUCCACCCUGAUGAGUGGUCAUUAAAACCACUCUUAGUAGUUAUUAAAAUAAUUGCUGGGCUCUUGAAAAUGUUGCCUGGCUGUCUGCUGUGGCACAGGAUUGCUCACUGAAGACCCCAUGACUGCUGGCACAGCCCCCUGCCCCCCCCAGUAAUCCCAAUCCCACAGCUCCCUUGAGGCUGGGGUGAAUUUUGUAUUCUUCUGGUUUCCAUAGAUGGGAGCUUGGCCAAAGCUGUCAUUAAACAGAAGUGAAGAUAAAGCCCAUCUCAUGGAAUCCAGAAGGUGUAGGCAUUUACUGCUCUUCACAGAAGCUCUCUUGAAUUUCUAUAUAUCUCGACUCUACUUCUUCAAGACUAGUGCAUACCAGACGGGGCUGUUGUGAUCACUAGCUCAGUGGUUCUCAAACUUUGGAAUAUCCCAGUCAAAUGAGGGCUCAUUAAGAUGCAGACUGCUGGGUCUCACCUUCAUAGUUUCUCAUUCAGCUCAUCAGGGAUGGGUCUGAGAAUCUGUUCUCUAGCAACUUUACAAGACACUGAGCCUGCUGGUCCAGGAACUUCCCCUUUGAGAACCACCUCUCUAGCUUUACACUUUCUUGAAUCAGACAUCCAGGAAUUCAAGGAAACCUUAGCAUACCUGCCCUUCACCCUGAACCCUGGUUAUUUUACCUGUCAAAUGGGAGCAUUGCUGCUCAGGGUUGUUGUGAGGCCCUGGACUAGGGCCUGGUGAGCAACAAGUGAGUUCAGCUCACAUGCUGGAACAACUAGGCUGUGAGGCAGUUAAUGGACUUGUUAACCACAGUAACUGACGUUUCCCAUCCUUGCAGCAUGGAUGCGUACCCUCCCACAUCAAUCAGGGAAUAUCUUGACCAACCUGUUUCUAACCUGGCCCUGCCUGACCAAGCCUGACCUUUGGGGCUGUAUCUCUGAAAAGUGCUGCAUGACCUUUCUGCAGUUACAGACCAUGGGACAAGAAACUGACCUUUCUUUUCUUUUGAAAAAUACUCCCAUUUUUCACAGAGACUCUGAUCCCAGUACCCAGCAUUCUAGAGCAUAAGAGGGAGGGCAGGCAGAACUGGGGUUGCUUCUCAUGCCAUGGUAGCUGACACCUUUUGUACUAAGGAGACUCUGGGGUUCCUUACACAAUAAACUGUUGGCUUGCUAAUCUGGUGUCACAUUUCUUGGCAGACCUUCCUCUCCAUGGGUCUCAGUGACCUUACACCCUGCCCUUUCCCUAAUUCACAGAGCAAAUUUAUCUGUAUUCAGGGAUGGGCAGAACUUGGCAGUUCCAGAUUCAUUUUAGGAAAUGCUUAGAAAAAUGAGCAGUGAACAAUGAAUCUUACCUUUUGAGAGCCCCUUGACUUUGUGGCUGGUGCCUGGGCUUUGGGGUCAGAACAAACAGGAGCUGGGAUCCCAGUUUCCCUGGUUACUGUCUCUGAGACCUUGGGCAGGUUACCUCGCCUCACUGGUCCUGUUUCCUUUCCUGGACACUGGAAUUCUAUUUCUUCCUUUGCAGGGAGUAGGGCUGCACAAACUAGGAAGGGGUGAGUUAAAUGAAUAACAGAAAUGGUUGCCUGACUCCUUCCAGCCCCUUCCCCUACUCUGUCGUUGGCUGCAGAGGCAACCAGCCUUUCUUGCAUCCUCACUGGAAAAUUGGAGGGGGAAGUUUUUGGUAGAGUACUCCACAGCCAAGGCAAUGGAUGCUGCAGUUAUGUUUUCAAAACAUUCGUCUUGUCAGGGUGAUGGGGGAAACACCUGUAUCCUUACCUGCUAUAUAUUUACUGAAUCCUGUGCCACAGGGUGAGCAUCAUAGCUACUGCCUGCCUCCCUAAAAGCCUGCAGUUUAGCUCCCCCAUCUGGAAAUAGCUGAGAAAACCUCAUUUAAGGAAGGAGGGCACCAGCAGCCUCAGUGCCUCCUUCUGGUGAGGUACUGAAUUAACCCUGUUAUGAUAGUAUACCCUAGAGUUAAUGAUCAAACUAACCACCGCCCCCCCCCCCCA
This 2540-nucleotide long non-coding RNA is filed under the name Marmota monax (woodchuck). Lineage: Eukaryota; Metazoa; Chordata; Mammalia; Rodentia; Sciuridae. The record is from RNAcentral.